GGGGGCGACACGGUUUCGACGGGGGUACCAAAGCGGUUGUGGCGUGCCGUCGGUGAUUGGGACGACGUAAAGACCUCGAUCAAACACGAAGUGCCAACGAUAACGCACUCGCUCUCGCGGCCUAACUAAGCCAAAGGAGCCGUCGACCCGCGGAGUCUGUCAGUACUCUUCGGCGAGGCGUCAUUGAACUGACUAGCUGUCUAUUUGCGAUUCGGUAGAACGGCGAAACUCUAGAAUCGAUAGCGGUGUGGCGAGCCUGUCUGUGGGCGCAACGCAUCGCAAAACUAAAUCACAGAACACGCACGUAGAAGCAAUCGUAGAGGACUUUCGGACGCGGGUUCGACUCCCGCCGCCUCCACAA
RNAcentral lists this transfer-messenger RNA (361 nucleotides) under Sandaracinaceae bacterium. It matches the Rfam family "transfer-messenger RNA". Rfam says of the family: Bacterial tmRNA, also known as 10Sa RNA or SsrA, is named for its dual tRNA and mRNA-like properties. The record is from RNAcentral. Lineage: Bacteria; Pseudomonadati; Myxococcota; Polyangiales; Sandaracinaceae.